AUAAUUUAUCUUCUAAGUUAUCUGUUCUUUUCAGUUUAAUAUCUGAUAUGUCCUUUAUUUGAGGACUUUAUAUUAAAUUGAUUUUUUCAAACAGGGAGCUGGAAUAGGAGCUUGCUCUGUCCACCCCAGGCAUCGACCUGGUAUUGCAGUGUCUCCGGGAAUGGUGCAUCUCCU
This 174-nucleotide small nuclear RNA is filed under the name Chelonia mydas (Green sea turtle). RNAcentral's name for it is "U2 spliceosomal RNA". It matches the Rfam family "U2 spliceosomal RNA". From Rfam's summary of the family: U2 is a small nuclear RNA (snRNA) component of the spliceosome (involved in pre-mRNA splicing). Complementary binding between U2 snRNA (in an area lying towards the 5' end but 3' to hairpin I) and the branchpoint sequence (BPS) of the intron results the bulging out of an unpaired adenosine, on the BPS, which initiates a nucleophilic attack at the intronic 5' splice site, thus starting the first of two transesterification reactions that mediate splicing. The record is from Rfam by way of RNAcentral. Lineage: Eukaryota; Metazoa; Chordata; Testudines; Cheloniidae.